GAUGAACGCUAGCGGCAGGCUUAACACAUGCAAGUCGUGGGGCAGCGCGGACUUCGGUCUGGCGGCGACCGGCAAACGGGUGCGGAACACGUACGCAACCUCCCUCAGAGCGGGGAAUAGCCUCUCGAAAGAGAGAUUAAUACCCCAUAGUAUCUUGAAGACACAUGUCUAUGAGAUUAAAGCUUCGGCACUUUGAGAUGGGCGUGCGGCUGAUUAGGUAGUUGGUAGGGUAACGGCCUACCAAGCCGACGAUCAGUAGCUGAUGUGAGAGCAUGAUCAGCCACACGGGCACUGAGACACGGGCCCGACUCCUACGGGAGGCAGCAGUGAGGAAUAUUGGUCAAUGGAGGAAACUCUGAACCAGCCAUGCCGCGUGGAGGAUGAAGGUCCUCUGGAUUGUAAACUCCUUUUAAUAAAAGAAGAAACCCCAUUUUUCAAAUGGGUUACGGUACUUUAUGAAUAAGCACCGGCUAACUCCGUGCCAGC
RNAcentral lists this ribosomal RNA (486 nucleotides) under uncultured bacterium. Its description in RNAcentral is "bacterial SSU rRNA". It matches the Rfam family "Bacterial small subunit ribosomal RNA", at positions 28 to 512 of the family's 1533-position model. The record is from RNAcentral.